RNAcentral lists this ribosomal RNA (570 nucleotides) under Salmonella enterica subsp. enterica serovar Enteritidis. RNAcentral describes it as "partial 23S ribosomal RNA". It matches the Rfam family "Bacterial large subunit ribosomal RNA", at positions 699 to 1266 of the family's 2925-position model. Lineage: Bacteria; Pseudomonadati; Pseudomonadota; Gammaproteobacteria; Enterobacterales; Enterobacteriaceae. The record is from RNAcentral.
GUUGCAGGGUAUAGACCCGAAACCCGGUGAUCUAGCCAUGGGCAGGUUGAAGGUUGGGUAACACUAACUGGAGGACCGAACCGACUAAUGUUGAAAAAUUAGCGGAUGACCUGUGGCUGGGGGUGAAAGGCCAAUCAAACCGGGAGAUAGCUGGUUCUCCCCGAAAGCUAUUUAGGUAGCGCCUCGUGAAUUCAUCUCCGGGGGUAGAGCACUGUUUCGGCUAGGGGGCCAUCCCGGCUUACCAACCCGAUGCAAACUGCGAAUACCGGAGAAUGUUAUCACGGGAGACACACGGCGGGUGCUAACGUCCGUCGUGAAGAGGGAAACAACCCAGACCGCCAGCUAAGGUCCCAAAGUCAUGGUUAAGUGGGAAACGAUGUGGGAAGGCCCAGACAGCCAGGAUGUUGGCUUAGAAGCAGCCAUCAUUUAAAGAAAGCGUAAUAGCUCACUGGUCGAGUCGGCCUGCGCGGAAGAUGUAACGGGGCUAAACCAUGCACCGAAGCUGCGGCAGCGACACUGUGUGUUGUUGGGUAGGGGAGCGUUCUGUAAGCCUGUGAAGGUGUGUCGUGA